AGAGUUUGAUCCUGGCUCAGGAUGAACGCUAGCGACAGGCCUAACACAUGCAAGUCGAGGGGCAGCACAAUGGUAGCAAUACUAUGGUGGCGACCGGCGCACGGGUGAGUAACACGUAUGCAACCUACCUGUAAGAGGGGAAUAACCCGGAGAAAUUCGGACUAACACCGCAUAAUACUGUUUAUCUGCAUGGGUGAACAGUUAAAUAUUUAUAGCUUACAGAUGGGCAUGCGUAUGAUUAGCUAGUUGGUGAGGUAACGGCUCACCAAGGCAACGAUCAUUAGGGGUUCUGAGAGGAAGGUCCCCCACACUGGUACUGAGACACGGACCAGACUCCUACGGGAGGCAGCAGUGAGGAAUAUUGGUCAAUGGGCGAGAGCCUGAACCAGCCAAGUCGCGUGAAGGAAGAAGGUUCUAUGGAUUGUAAACUUCUUUUGUAAGGGAAUAAAAAACGUCACGUGUGACGUCUUGUAUGUACUUUACGAAUAAGGAUCGGCUAACUCCGUGCCAGCAGCCGCGGUAAUACGGAGGAUCCAAGCGUUAUCCGGAUUUAUUGGGUUUAAAGGGUGCGUAGGCGGAAGAGUAAGUCAGUGGUGAAAGUUUGCAGCUCAACUGUAAAAUUGCCAUUGAAACUGCUUUUCUUGAGUGUAAAUGAGGUAGGCGGAAUGUGUUGUGUAGCGGUGAAAUGCUUAGAUAUAACACAGAACACCAAUUGCGAAGGCAGCUUACUAGGAUACAACUGACGCUGAGGCACGAAAGCGUGGGGAUCAAACAGGAUUAGAUACCCUGGUAGUCCACGCAGUAAACGAUGAAUACUAGCUGUAUGCGAUAUACUGUAUGUGGCAAAGCGAAAGCGUUAAGUAUUCCACU
Molecule: ribosomal RNA, 870 nt
Filed under: uncultured bacterium
Lineage: Bacteria
Description: bacterial SSU rRNA
Rfam family: Bacterial small subunit ribosomal RNA
Source: RNAcentral